CACGGAGUUAGCCGGGGCUUAUUCUCCCGGUACUGUCAUUAUCAUCCCGGGUAAAAGAGCUUUACAACCCUAGGGCCUUCAUCACUCACGCGGCAUUGCUGGAUCAGGCUUUCGCCCAUUGUCCAAUAUUCCCCACUGCUGCCUCCCGUAGGAGUCUGGGCCGUGUCUCAGUCCCAGUGUGGCUGAUCAUCCUCUCAGACCAGCUAAGGAUCGUCGCCUUGGUGCGCCUUUACCACACCAACUAGCUAAUCCUACGCGGGCUCAUCCUCAGGCGAUAAAUCUUUGGUCUCGCGACAUCAUCCGGUAUUAGCACGCCUUUCGGCGAGUUAUUCCGAACCCAAGGGUAGAUUCCCACGCGUUACGCACCCGUGCGCCACUAGACCCGAAGGUCUCGUUCGACUUGCAUGUGUUAGGCAUGCCGCCAGCGUUUCGUUCUGAGCCAGGAUCAAACUCU
This 454-nucleotide ribosomal RNA is filed under the name uncultured Sphingomonas sp. RNAcentral describes it as "partial 16S ribosomal RNA". Lineage: Bacteria; Pseudomonadati; Pseudomonadota; Alphaproteobacteria; Sphingomonadales; Sphingomonadaceae. The record is from RNAcentral.